GUCCAGACUCCUACGGGAGGCAGCAGUGGGGGAUAUUGCACAAUGGGGGAAACCCUGAUGCAGCGACGCCGCGUGAGGGAAGACGGCCUUCGGGUUGUAAACCUCUGUCGCAGGGGACGAAGGAAGUGACGGUACCCUGUGAGGAAGCCACGGCUAACUACGUGCCAGCAGCCGCGGUAAUACGUAGGUGGCGAGCGUUGUCCGGAUUUACUGGGUGUAAAGGGAGCGUAGACGGCAUGGCAAGUCAGAUGUGAAAGCCCGGGGCUCAACCCCGGGACUGCAUUUGAAACUGUCAGGCUGGAGUGCAGGAGAGGUAAGUGGAAUUCCUAGUGUAGCGGUGAAAUGCGUAGAUAUUAGGAGGAACACCAGUGGCGAAGGCGGCUUACUGGACUGUAACUGACGUUGAGGCUCGAAAGCGUGGGGAGCAAACAGGAUUAGAUACCCUCGUACG
Molecule: ribosomal RNA, 451 nt
Filed under: uncultured bacterium
Lineage: Bacteria
Description: bacterial SSU rRNA
Rfam family: Bacterial small subunit ribosomal RNA
Source: RNAcentral